Molecule: unclassified non-coding RNA, 223 nt
Filed under: uncultured Thelephoraceae
Lineage: Eukaryota; Fungi; Basidiomycota; Agaricomycetes; Thelephorales; Thelephoraceae
Description: partial internal transcribed spacer 2
Source: RNAcentral
ACACCUCAACUCCUCGUGGUUUGCCACGAUGGGCUUGGACUUUGGGGGCUUUGCCGGCUACUGUUGUCGGCUCCUCUCAAACAAAUCAGCUUGCCAGUGUUUGGUGGCGUCACAGGUGUGAUAACUAUCUACGCUUGUGGUCUCCCCACCAGGUAACCUUCAGCAAUGGAGGUUCACUGUGGCUCAUAAAUGUCUCUCCUCUGUGAAAGACGGCUUUUUUAAC